Long non-coding RNA from Oncorhynchus keta (chum salmon), 946 nucleotides. RefSeq lists it as uncharacterized. The transcript has 3 exons. NCBI's taxonomy places the organism in Eukaryota, Metazoa, Chordata, Actinopteri, Salmoniformes, Salmonidae. The record is from RefSeq and is a predicted model, not a curated record.
UUUGAUUCAUAUAUGCAACUACAGAAAUGGACUCCCCAUUCUGCAGACUGUUUGAGAUGAGGUCUCUUGGUCUGCUUUUCAUUCUAUCUCUGCAGACUGUUUGAGAUGAGGUCUCUUGGUCUGCCUUUCAUUCUAUCUCUGCAGACUGUUUGAGAUGAGGUCUCUUGGUCUGCUUUUCAUUCUACCCCUGCAGAUUCUGCUUUUCAUUUUAUCCCUGCAGACUGUUUGAGAUGAGGUCUCUUGGUCUGCCUUUCAUUUUAUCCCUGCAGACUGUUUGAGAUGAGGUCUCUUGGUCUGCCUUUCAUUCUAUCUCUGCAGACUGUUUGAGAUGAGGUCUCUUGGUCUGCUUUUCAUUCUAUCUCUGCAGACUGUUUGAGAUGAGGUCUCUUGGUCUGCUUUUCAUUCUACCCCUGCAGAUUCUGCCUUUCAUUCUACCCCUGCAGGAUGUUUGAGAUGAGGUCUCUUGGUCUGCUUUUCAUUCUACCCCUGCAGAUUCUGCCUUUCAUUCUACCCCUGCAGGAUGUUUGAGAUGAGGUCUCUUGGUCUGCCUUUCAUUCUAUCCCUGCAGGAUGUUUGAGAUGAGGUCCCUUGGUCUUUGGUCUGUGGCUGUUUCAGGUUUUACAGGGAAAGGUGAAAGGGGAGAGGAGGGCAUAUAUAUCUUGUUUUUCUUGCCAGAUGGCCCCAGAAAUAUAAGCUGUUUAGCUUGUUUGAUGGAUCAAAUGAAAAGGCCACAUAAAGCACUGAAUUGGAUUGGGAUCUGAACAACUGUGUUGGUGUGUCUUCAGGCUGUGCUGUCGACCUUCAAACAAAGUUAUUGUUGUAAGAGCCAAACCUUUUGGACAUGUUUGGUCACGGCGUAAUUGGAUUGUUGUACAACGGAGGAUGAGGAUGAGGAUCUGUGAAUCGCCGAUUUUUUAAAAACUUCUAUAUGAGAACCACAACAUUU